GGGAGAAAACAAAAACCUUAAAACAAUCUGGCUGCAUAGGUGUGCACACCCUCUUAUAACUGGGGAUGUGGCUGUGUUCAGAAUUAACCAAUCACAUUCAAACUCAUGUUAAACAGAAGUCAUUACACACUUGCCAUCAUUUAAAGUGGCUCUGAUUAAUCACAAAUAAAGUUCAGCUGUUCCAGUAGGAUUUUCCUGACAUUUUCUUAGUUGCAUCUCAGAGCAAAAGC
Molecule: long non-coding RNA, 230 nt
Organism: Etheostoma spectabile (orangethroat darter)
Lineage: Eukaryota; Metazoa; Chordata; Actinopteri; Perciformes; Percidae
Exons: 4
Source: RefSeq, a predicted model, not a curated record